Molecule: ribosomal RNA, 499 nt
Filed under: uncultured Glomeromycotina
Lineage: Eukaryota; Fungi; Glomeromycota
Description: partial small subunit ribosomal RNA
Rfam family: Eukaryotic small subunit ribosomal RNA
Source: RNAcentral
CCAAUAGCGUAUAUUAAAGUUGCUGCAGUUAAAAAGCUCGUAGUUGAAUUUCGGGACCAAUAUGUCGGUCGUGCCUCGGUACGUACUGGCAUCGUUGGUUUCUCCCUUCUGACGAACCAUGAUGUCAUUUAUUUGGUGUCGUGGGGAAUCAGGACUGUUACUUUGAAAAAAUUAGAGUGUUUAAAGCAGGCUCACGCUUGAAUACAUUAGCAUGGAAUAAUGAAAUAGGACGUUUGAUUCUAUUUUGUUGGUUUCUAGGAUCGACGUAAUGAUUAAUAGGGAUAGUUGGGGGCAAUAGUAUUAAAUUGUCAGAGGUGAAAUUCUUGGAUUUAUUGAAGACUAACUACUGCGAAAGCAUUUGCCAAGGAUGUUUUCAUUAAUCAAGAACGAAAGUUAGGGGAUCGAAGACGAUCAGAUACCGUCGUAGUCUUAACCAUAAACUAUGCCGACUAGGGAUCGGAUGAUGUUAAUUUUUUAAUGACUCAUUCGGCGCCUUACG